GACGAACGCUGGCGGCGUGCCUAAUACAUGCAAGUCGAGCGGACUUUUAAAAGCUUGCUUUUGAAAGUUAGCGGCGGACGGGUGAGUAACACGUGGGCAACCUGCCUGUAAGACUGGGAUAACUUCGGGAAACCGAAGCUAAUACCGGAUAAUUCUUUUCCUCUCAUGAGGGAAAGCUGAAAGAUGGCAUCACGCUAUCACUUACAGAUGGGCCCGCGGCGCAUUAGCUAGUUGGUGAGGUAACGGCUCACCAAGGCGACGAUGCGUAGCCGACCUGAGAGGGUGAUCGGCCACACUGGGACUGAGACACGGCCCAGACUCCUACGGGAGGCAGCAGUAGGGAAUCUUCCGCAAUGGACGAAAGUCUGACGGAGCAACGCCGCGUGAGUGAUGAAGGUUUUCGGAUCGUAAAACUCUGUUGUUAGGGAAGAACAAGUACCGUUCGAAUAGGGCGGUACCUUGACGGUACCUAACCAGAAAGCCACGGCUAACUACGUGCCAGCAGCCGCGGUAAUACGUAGGUGGCAAGCGUUGUCCGGAAUUAUUGGGCGUAAAGCGCGCGCAGGCGGUUUCUUAAGUCUGAUGUGAAAGCCCACGGCUCAACCGUGGAGGGUCAUUGGAAACUGGGGAACUUGAGUGCAGAAGAGAAGAGCGGAAUUCCACGUGUAGCGGUGAAAUGCGUAGAGAUGUGGAGGAACACCAGUGGCGAAGGCGGCUCUUUGGUCUGCAACUGACGCUGAGGCGCGAAAGCGUGGGGAGCAAACAGGAUUAGAUACCCUGGUAGUCCACGCCGUAAACGAUGAGUGCUAAGUGUUAGAGGGUUUCCGCCCUUUAGUGCUGCAGCAAACGCAUUAAGCACUCCGCCUGGGGAGUACGGCCGCAAGGCUG
This 888-nucleotide ribosomal RNA is filed under the name uncultured bacterium. RNAcentral describes it as "bacterial SSU rRNA". It matches the Rfam family "Bacterial small subunit ribosomal RNA", at positions 28 to 896 of the family's 1533-position model. The record is from RNAcentral.